AUGAAAGAAGAAAUCAUCUAUCUAGACAGAAUCGAGGACCCCCAUCUAAGCCAUAGGAAAGAAAGCCACUGGAGUGCGACGCUCAAAGCAAAAAGCAUACUCGGUAGAAAGGAGGUGGUGGAGCUGGGAAGAAGAUUAUACUUUAUCGAUUACUUGGACUUAGAGACCAAUUAUAGAAAGAAGACAGUAGCUGAGAAAAAUCCUGAUGUUGGUAAAAUAUACGUGUUGAUCAAGGACAAUGAAGCAGCCAUGAAAAGAUUGAAGAACGAGGUAGAAGAUACUGAGUUGUUCAGAUGUUUACAGGAAAUCCAUGGGAAAAACUACCACAGCUUUGUAUUAAGCAAGCAGGUUCCAGUCAUUGGUAAUUCCAGGGAAGCCUACAUUGGCAUUGCUCCUGAGUUAGCCAAAGAGAUCGCGGAAGAAGUGGAUGUUAUCGUAAACUCUGCAGCAAAUACCACUUUUGAUGAGAGGUUCGUGAAGCUAUACUAG
Molecule: ribosomal RNA, 489 nt
Filed under: Triticum aestivum (bread wheat)
Lineage: Eukaryota; Viridiplantae; Streptophyta; Magnoliopsida; Poales; Poaceae
Description: partial small subunit ribosomal RNA
Source: RNAcentral